AUUGAACGCUGGCGGCAGGCCUAACACAUGCAAGUCGAGCGGAUGAAUGGAGCUUGCUCCUGGAUUCAGCGGCGGACGGGUGAGUCAUGCCUAGGAAUCUGCCUGGUAGUGGGGGAUAACGUCCGGAAACGGGCGCUAAUACCGCAUACGUCCUGAUGGAGAAAGUGGGGGAUCUUCGGACCUCACGCUAUCAGAUGAGCCUAGGUCGGCUUAGCUAGUUGGUGGGGUAAAGGCCUACCAAGGCGACGGUCCGUAACUGGUCCGAGAGGAUGAUCAGGCACCUUGGAAGUGAGGCACGGUCCCGACUCCUACAGGAAGCAGCGGUGGGGAAUAUUAGACGAUGGGCGAGAGCCGGAUCCAGCGAAGCCGGGGGUGGGAAGAAGGUCUUCGGAUGGGAAAACGAUUUAAGUUGGGAGGAAGGGCAAUAAGUUAAUACCUUGCUGUUUUGACGUUACCAACAGAAUAAGCACCGGCUAACUUCGUG
Molecule: ribosomal RNA, 484 nt
Filed under: uncultured bacterium
Lineage: Bacteria
Description: partial 16S ribosomal RNA
Rfam family: Bacterial small subunit ribosomal RNA
Source: RNAcentral